This 243-nucleotide ribosomal RNA is filed under the name Helicotheca tamesis. RNAcentral describes it as "partial Eukaryotic large subunit ribosomal RNA". It matches the Rfam family "Eukaryotic large subunit ribosomal RNA", at positions 3105 to 3351 of the family's 3401-position model. Lineage: Eukaryota; Bacillariophyta; Thalassiosirophyceae; Lithodesmiales; Lithodesmiaceae. The record is from RNAcentral.
UCUGCCGGAUAAUGGCUGAACGCCUCUAAGUCAGAAUCCGGGCUAGAGCGACGCGUGCGCCCGCCGCCCGAUUGCCGACCUGCAGUAGGGACCUCCCGGUCCCCAGAGGCACGUGUCUUUGGUGAAGCCCCCGCGGCGGAAGAGCCGCGAGGGCCGCCUUGAAUCGUAAUUCCCACCGAGCGGCGGGUAGAAUCCUUUGCAGACGACUUAAAUACGCGACGGGGUAUUGUAAGUGGCAGAGUG